Molecule: ribosomal RNA, 484 nt
Filed under: uncultured bacterium
Lineage: Bacteria
Description: partial 16S ribosomal RNA
Rfam family: Bacterial small subunit ribosomal RNA
Source: RNAcentral
AUUGAACGCUGGCGGCAGGCCUAACACAUGCAAGUCGAGCGGAUGAAGGGAGCUUGCUCCUGGAUUCAGCGGCGGACGGGUGAGUAAUGCCUAGGAAUCUGCCUGGUAGUGGGGGAUAACGUCCGGAAACGGGCGCUAAUACCGCAUACGUCCUGAGGGAGAAAGUGGGGGAUCUUCGGACCUCACGCUAUCAGAUGAGCCUAGGUCGGAUUAGCUAGUUGGUGGGGUAAAGGCCUACCAAGGCGACGAUCCGUAACUGGUCUGAGAGGAUGAUCAGUCACACUGGAACUGAAACACGAUCCAGACUCCUAAGGGAGGCAGCAGUGGGCAAUAUUGGACAAUGGGCGAAAGCCUGAUCCAGCCAUGCCGCGUGUGUGAAGAAGGUCUUCGGAUUGUAAAGCACUUUAAGUUGGGAGGAAGGGCAGUAAGUUAAUACCUUGCUGUUUUGACGUUACCAACAGAAUAAGCACCGGCUAACUUCGUG